This is a long non-coding RNA of Larimichthys crocea (large yellow croaker), 351 nucleotides long. RefSeq lists it as uncharacterized. NCBI's taxonomy places the organism in Eukaryota, Metazoa, Chordata, Actinopteri, Sciaenidae. The transcript has 4 exons. The record is from RefSeq and is a predicted model, not a curated record.
CACUGGAGUCCCUCAGCCUUAGCAACAUGAAAAAAAUGUCAGAAAUCUUGCAAGAGCUAAGCAGAACGGGGAAGUGGAAAUGGAUGUUGCACUACAGAGACAGUCGUUGGAUCAAAGAAAAUGCGAGGUUGAGCGCAGAGGCAAAAGAGAAGAAGCACUUCCUAAACGGUGCAACGAAGUUGGACUAUUGGAGGUCUUACCUUACCAUGAGUGUGACCUCAUGUCAAAAGAUCAGCCUGACUAUCUCACAUGUUUGGUCCGUCUGCAGGUUCAGAAUAUAUCAGCCCGCUACCCUGUGUUUAUAACUGAUACAACAGACAGUGCAUUUGGAACGAAUGGAAUUUUAACAAU